RNAcentral lists this long non-coding RNA (438 nucleotides) under Nicotiana benthamiana. RNAcentral's name for it is "long non-coding RNA (NBEN_LNC021908)". Lineage: Eukaryota; Viridiplantae; Streptophyta; Magnoliopsida; Solanales; Solanaceae. The record is from RNAcentral.
AUAUAUAUAUAUAUAUAUGGAAGGGUAUAUACGAUAUACCGACACACGCGCUUGAGACUAGACAACUAGACCAAACCGGUCAACAUGUUUCAUUCUACUGUCCUGGUUCUACUAUUACACCCUUGGAAAAGAACAUGGUGAAGAAAAACCAAGGGGAAUUCAUUGCUAACUAAAUGGACAGCUAUCUAUUUGCUUUUGGUGUUUUGUUGUGUGUGUGUUUUUUUUUUGUAAUAAAUUUUUUUAUACACCCAAGGGUAACCUAAAUUAUGUACAAAGAUCAAAAAACACUAAUAUAUACAAAAUCACAAACUACACAACAUAAUUUAGAGCAUAAACACAAUACACUGAUAUAUACAGAAUCAUAAAAUACAUAUAAGUACAUAAGUUUGUUUGUGUCACAACAAUAUAUACAAGGCUACCACCCCUAACUAAAAAGCA